This 420-nucleotide long non-coding RNA is filed under the name Vigna radiata. Its description in RNAcentral is "long non-coding RNA (VRAD_LNC010812)". The record is from RNAcentral. Lineage: Eukaryota; Viridiplantae; Streptophyta; Magnoliopsida; Fabales; Fabaceae.
UGCAAGCUUGUCUGAGGGAGCAGAUGAAGCCAUUAUUCUUUUAAAUGCACUCCAAGGUUCUGGAUUUGAUCUACCAAUCAGGUAAUGAUUAGUUCAUUAAAUUAUUAUUUUAUCCUUUUAAGCUAAAGAUCAGCUUUCAUUGUCAUUAAGCGGAAGCACAAAUUACUCUUUCAUAUUUGUCAAGUUAAUAUAAUAUAUACUAAUUGUUCUGUAGGCUUCUUAAAGAAAGAUCAGAGUCACUAGUUUCAGAAGUUGACCAGUGUCUGGAGAGACUAGAACCUGUGGAAGAUAAUGCAGCCUUUAACCUUGUCAAUGCAUUGCUGGAUCUCUUGUGGGCAUUUGAACUACGAGCCACUGCAUCUUGGAUUUUCCAAUUGGCCAUCAAGAGAAGCAUUUACCGCCAUGAUAUUUUUAGGUAGG